This 228-nucleotide ribosomal RNA is filed under the name uncultured archaeon. RNAcentral's name for it is "partial 16S ribosomal RNA". It matches the Rfam family "Archaeal small subunit ribosomal RNA", at positions 23 to 246 of the family's 1478-position model. The record is from RNAcentral.
GCCACUGCUAUUGGGGUUCGGCUAAGCCAUGCGAGUGGAGGGCGUCCCGCAAGGGGUGGCCCCGCAGACGGCUCAGUAACACGUCGUCAACCCACCUUAGGGUGGGGGACAACCUCGGGAAACUGAGGAUAAUCCCCCAUAGGCGGGGGAGGCUAGAAUGCGCCCCCGCUGAAAGCUCAGGCGCCCUAGGACGGGGCGGCGGCCUAUCAGGUAGUUGGUGGUGUGACG